RNAcentral lists this ribosomal RNA (460 nucleotides) under uncultured bacterium. RNAcentral describes it as "partial 16S ribosomal RNA". It matches the Rfam family "Bacterial small subunit ribosomal RNA", at positions 338 to 795 of the family's 1533-position model. The record is from RNAcentral.
CCUACGGGAGGCAGCAGUGAGGAAUAUUGGUCAAUGGGCGCGAGCCUGAACCAGCCAAGUAGCGUGAAGGAUGACUGCCCUACGGGUUGUAAACUGCUUUUAUAAAGGAAUAAAGUGAGUCACGUGUGCCUUUUUGCAUGUACCUUAUGAAUAAGGAUCGGCUAACUCCGUGCCAGCAGCCGCGGUAAUACGGAGGAUCCGAGCGUUAUCCGGAUUUAUUGGGUUUAAAGGGAGCGUAGAUGGGUUGUUAAGUCAGUUGUGAAAGUUUGCGGCUCAACCGUGAAAUUGCAAUUGAUACUGGCAGCCUUGAGUACAGGUGAGGUAGGCGGAAUUCGUGGUGUAGCGGUGAAAUGCUUAGAUAUCACGAAGAACUCCGAUUGCGAAGGCAGCUUACUAAACUGCCACUGACGUUGAUGCUCGAAAGUGUGGGUAUCAAACAGGAUUAGAUACCCUAGUAGUC